Oreochromis niloticus (Nile tilapia) is the source of this 7561-nucleotide long non-coding RNA. RefSeq lists it as uncharacterized. Lineage: Eukaryota; Metazoa; Chordata; Actinopteri; Cichliformes; Cichlidae. The record is from RefSeq and is a predicted model, not a curated record. The transcript is spliced from 2 exons.
AUUGAUAAACAGCCACGACCUCAACAUUUUUGUUGUUUUUUUGACAAAAGGUCACGUAGUGAUCAUUCAAUACCUUGAUCAUAAGAUUGGCUGUAGCAAUGAUUAUGUGUUUGGUCUUCAUUUAACGACUUUUUAGGUUUUUUUUUCCUCUGCAGGUUCAGUAUAAUCAGGAUAAGUAUGAUGCAAUGACGUUUAGAACUAAUAAAAAUCCCAAAUACUAAAGUGAUGCAUUAAUUUUGCAUUCUUUUUGUAUCUGUUUUAUCGGAUCAUUGCCAUCAACAUGGUUAUAUGAUAAUUAUUGCAUAUAAUAUACGGUAUAUAAUACUUGCAUCACUUAUAUAAGGAAUCAUAACCCUUUAAAAUAAAAUAAACCUGAUGUGGGUCUUGCAUCACUUCUCUUCAGUAAACCUUUUUGAUAGUUUAGCCCUGCAAAGUCCACCAGUUAAAGCAAAGCAGUCACGAUAAACAAUUAGGUUUCAUUACCCUUUUAGUAAACAGUUACUACUCUAAAUACCGAGCUUAAACGUCAGCAUUUGAAGGCAGCGUCAUUUCUGCCCCGCUGCUGAACUUCUCCUGAGCCUCUGCGAACCCACAGACUGAAAUCCGCAGAGCUGCAACAAGUAGUACAAAACAAACAUCUGAACACGUUAGCCUGCACUGUUACUCGUUCUUGUAGCAAAUUAAAACCCUCGAUUGAUGUAAAUAAAGCCACAAAGUUUUUCCUUAUACUGUCAUAUGGCUAAUUUAUUAAACUGACUUAUUUAACAAGUGAUUUUUUUUAAUGUGACUUCUUAGGAAGAUUGUUUUUUUCUUUCUUUCUUUCUUUAUUGUGUUACUUCACAUGUCAGUACUGACAGUGUUACCGACAUGUAAAAGAAAAAAAACUGUCACAUUUUGUUCCCAUGACUGGUUGAUGAUACUAUGGUGUUUUUCACAGUAUAUGCUAUAACGGAAUGUCCUGCACCAUCCACACGUACCAUAUGCACAUGUACAGGUAGUUUUCUGUGCUAUCCACCGGUAAAUUUCCAAUCAGUCUAUGUCUGAACUCUACCGGACUCUAGUGGUGAAAAUGUAGACUACAGUGCGCUUGGGCAACAAAAUUAAUUACAGGGAAUCUGGUGUUUCCUUGGGAAUUUUCCGUAAACCCCUUCAGACAUUUCCAGGUUGUUUUUCCAGUUCUGGAAAUUCUCAAAUGGCAUUCUAUAUUUAUAGUUAAGGACUUAACUCCUACUUGUUAAUAUGGUAUAUGCCUACCACAUAAUUUCUUGUUCCUUUUGUCACACUACAGUCCACCCCAUUGUAUCAGCUAAUAAACAACAUACUGCAGGAUAUUUAAUGGGUGAUCUGUACCUCUACAGCAGAGGUGGGCAAUUAAUUUUCCCAAGGGGCUCACUGGGAAACUGGGAUUGUUGUGGAGGGCCGUACCAACAAGCUUUUAAAGUGAUAAAAUUAAUACUGAGCAAAAUUGAGUUCAGCUUAUUAGUACUGCCCUCCACUACAGUCCCAGUUUCUCAUGUGGCCCCCUUGGGAAAGUUAAUUGCCCACCCCUGCGUAGUUACAUCAAGCAUCAACAACCUCUUACUGGAGUACAUCAAUUUGCAGCGCUUUCUAAGGCGAGACCUUUUCGAACGGGCAUGUUACCACAUGAAGCACAAAUGCACCCACACAAAGCAUAAAAUAAUAAGUCAUUUGUCACAUAGGAUAACUACAAAGGAUACAGAGAAAGAACACCUGCUGUCAUCCCAUUUUUUCCAUCGCAUUACCCACUGCUAUUAUUGCGCAAUAGACCUUGUUUUCGCUGCAGGUUUUAAUAGCUUUAAUGUAAUUUCCCGGCACUUCUCAGCUGCCACAUUAUGUUCCAUUUUGUUGUUGCAAUUAUCUGAUUCAAUACUGAUAAUAAGCCAAUUACAAUUUUAUUAAAGAGUCUCUGCAUAACAAUUCUUCUACCGGCACAUCAACUUGUGGAAUAUUCAACCAUGGAUAACUUUUAUGCAAAUUCCCUGCUGAGGGGGUCCAACUCUAUUAAAUUUUGCUCAUUCAUAAGCCACAUCCUUUCAGUCAUAUCUUUCAAAAGGAUAUUAGGUCUAUUUAAACAAGGACAGAAAAAAAAUUAGGAUGAUGUCUGAAUAAAAUAAUUCAAUUAUGAGUCCAAAGAUAUUUUCUGCAUGAUCACACAGACCUAAAGAAAGUGCAUUUAAAAUAUUAAAUAAUCCCAGACCUCUAACUUUUUAAAACUUUAAAAACCAAAUUCCUUUUUUUCCUUGUUUUUCUGAAAGAGGAGAAGAAGGAGUUGUGUUACAUAACAAAACAAUUAAAGUGGAAGGGCUGACUUCUGGUUGGACUAACAAGGCUUAGCAGAGAGCACAUUGACUGGGUAUUAGGGCCCAUCGUGCCUGUCGUCUCAGAUUUCGUGCUGCGACAGUUCAGCUGCCAGGUUUAAUAUCCAGCCCGCUUCGAGCAAUGAGAGACAGGUGAAUUACCCUGCCCAGCAGUGAUAGUCCCAUUUUGGACGAAGGAGUCACAGCGAAUGCCUUCAGCUGAGAUGCACAGAUAGGACCUACACAGUGGGGAGCCUUCCAGCACAGUAUAACCAAUGACCCGCAUUAGGGUCAUGGAGGACUGGCGCUUGUAUCAGCUAACACAGAGAGACAGCCAACCACUCACACACCUACAGCCAAUUUGGAGUUACCGGUUAACUUAAUGUGGAUGUGUUUGGACUGUGGGAGAAAGCCAGAGUACCUGGAGAGUACCCAAACAGACACAGGGAGGGCCCCAGCCAGCCAGUGUAAUCAAACCCAGGACCUUCUUGGUGUGAGGUGAUGUGCUAACCACCAUGCUGCCCAGGACUCAAAUUAAUGAUGCAAUUACAGUAAGACAGGAGCUCCAACAUAUAAGGUGAAAGUCGUUGUGGUGAUGUGCUCAAAAUGAGGGAAAUACUUUAUAAAGCAUUAAUUAAACUAAAUGUUAAAGCACCACUUAGGUGUGAUGGGUAGCAGAUGUUGGAGAUGCUCAUAUAAACCUAUUUCACACAUAUAUUCAAUUAAAUAACUGUUUAAUGUGCAAAACAACAUAAUAAUUUCUCAAUCUUGUGUUGCAUAACAGUUUGCUGUAAGUUCUUUGACCAAAAUGAGUUUCUUUCAUGCUUCUUCAUAACACAGAUGCUGCUGUUUUUCCAUUUGCAUGACAGGGGGAGAAAUGUUGGGAAAAUGCAGGGAUUUUAAAUUACACCUCCACCCCGAGUACUCAAAAAUGUUUACUAGAGAGCACCAAAGUGCAGUCAGUAAAGGAAAACACCGUCUGUUGCCAAACUCCCAAUGUCCAGUUACUUCAAAAAUAGAACAUGUGAUUGGUCCUUGUGCUGUAACCUUUCCUGCGUCCUGGAAGGAAGGGCUUUACGACCUGCUGAGGUUCAGAGAAGAAACUGUUUUCCUAGAGUCUUUAAGAGCAGUUCUCAGCAUUGGGAUGUGGCAACACCCUUGUUUAACUUUGUUUGAUGCUACCUCCAUGCCUUGCAGGCUUAAAGACAUUUUAAAAGGUUUGUGUAAGUGUGUGUGUAGGGGUGUGCAGGUGUGUUUUUGUUAGGCUGUACACAGUUGUGCUUCCUUCAAGGUCAGAAAAGGUGAGAUCUUAGGUGAUUCUUAAUUUUACUGCUUUUCAGUCUUUUUUCUGUGCAGUUGUGACUAUAUGUAUCUGUGUGUGUGUGUGUGUGUGUGUGUGUGUGUGUGUGUGUGUGUGUGUGUGUAAGCAGUCAGGGUACAUCAUGCACUCAACCUGCAUGUGAACAGUACCCAGAGAAAAUAAGAUAAGACAGUGAUAAACCUGGCUCAGACCCACUCCACAAAAGCACUGUUGGGCUGCAUUGUGUAGCCAACUGUUGUUGUAUCCCACAUUGCGUCAGUGUGAGAUACAAACAUGUAAGAUUAUGGAACAGCUAUGCAUGGAGAAACCAGUCGAUUUAACGUUUGAAUUAAUCUAAAUUAAAGCCAGCGUACUCCAGCCCUUUUAACUACUUCAGAACAAAUGUGUGAAAAAUGUGAAAAUUCCCAAGAACUUACAAAGGCCUUUUUUUUUCAGUUUGGAUACAGUUUGGAUACAUAAGGAUGUUCUUUUGGCUUUUACACACACGCACAAACACAAACAUACAUACAAUACCUCUUGAAUUUCAGACAAACUAUUUGUUUCUGCUGAUCUUUCUUUCAAACUUAAACUUGGCCCUCAGCAGCAGGGUGGGUUCCCACAGUCUCACUUUUCAUGCAGAGAUUAGAAAGAGACUGGGAUUCCCAUGCUAAUGAAAAUAGGGCAGAAUGAAAAUUUUACCACCCCCCAGCCAGCAGCCUGUUUCGCUCAGCCUGAGUGAUGUGGAGAGCACAACUCUACCAACGCCUUCAUUUCAGCUUCCCUCUAUCUACAUUCUGUUCCUUUACUAACUUGCUGUACAACAAGAUGUUUUUGAAUCACAGUGCACCCUGGCUAUCAAGCAUUAUACGGGCUAUAUUACAGUUUAAUGUCUACUUAAAUUGUAUAAUUAUUAUAUUGACUGCCUGCGAUACUGUGACUCACACUUAAGUGCAGAGCUGUGUGUGUGUGUGUGAGUGUGUGAUGGCAAGUGUUGACAGGCUUCCUUAUUAUCUAAUUAGGCGCCAUAGUCAUGGUCCAAACAGAUAAGGCACGGAGCGCAAGCCAUGGUCACUCCGCACACCCCCCGCCCAUCAGCACACUUAUGUAAUUCCUAUAACUGCUAUCUAAAAUAACUAAGAUGAGGAAUGAAAGAAUGAAGAAAAUGACAGAGGGAAUAAACAAGAAUAAAUAGGGAAGAGACGCAUCAAAUAAAACAGGCAUCAACAAAGACAGCUGCACAAACUCAAGAAUGACUGAAGAAACAACUUUAAUGGGUGGGUGGAACUGUUUUUAAAUUCUUCCUGUUAUUAGUCACUAUGAAAGGACAGCGAUUCCUGUGGUUCUUCUCUGUUUUCCCUAAAAUACCUAGGAAUAUGUUUUUAAACCAUAUUAAUGUGGCGAUGCUAAGCUUCCUGGCACUUAUUACACAUAUUUUUUUUAAUGAAAACAAAACACUGUCUGUAUAUUUGGUCCUUGGAUAUUGGAUAGUUGGUGAUUUAUAACUGCAGCAUCAUUGCGAUCAUGAUCUAAGCAAGUCAAAGAACAAUUCCAGUGGUUUUACACAGUAAAUCACAUCUGGUUACAGUUUACAUCACUGACAGGCAUUUCAUAACUAAUGAAGCUUGUGCUGUCAUUUUAAAAUUGCUUUUUCAUUCUUUUCAUUUGUGUUACAUCAGAAUGCUCAGAGCCUGACACAGACUUGAAACUCACCCAGUAUAGUUGAUUUCUAAAAUUAAUAGAUAUAAUUCCUUUUUAGACUAUCUUUCAGUCACUGAUCUUGAUCUGAGUCAGAUGACAGUAUGCGUUACUUAUAGAUUUCUAAUCCAAUAUCUGGUACAUGCUGUAUCUACACUCUGUGACACACAGGACAAAGAAGCUUAGCUGGAUUUUGCUGUGGUGAUGUGUCACCCAGCAGCAUAAUGCUAUGGGUCAUCUCAGUGUACUGCAGUCUGCACGUGGAUAAUGCUAUGGGUCACCUUUGCGCCCUCCAUUGCCAGGGUGCUUAUGUGUGCGUGUGUUUGUGCUGUUAGAGUGCCUUGUGUCUCAGUUCUGUGGAAAAUCUGAAGCAAUCAGUUAGACAGCAGCCUCAGGACACCUGUUUGCCAAAUGUUGAAAAGUCUUCAGACUCACUCACUGACAGGAAGCAUAUUUAUUCACACAAAAACGAAACGCUUUUUAUUUAUUCCAAUAUCAGUCUCCAGGUUCUUUGCAUUAAGAGAGACUUUUGCAGCAAGCAAAACUCAAUGAACAGAAAGAUAUCAUAAUAAACAUCUGAUACACAUCCUAUGUUUGUAUUGUUGCUAAGGACAACUGAAGAUGAAACCACAGCAGUGUUGGUAAAGAAAGGCCCGCGCAGCAGAGGUUGCAUCAACCUGUGGUGCAGGGUGUGUCUGUGGAUUUCUGAGUUAACAAACACUGAUCUCUCUCUGCUGAAAGUGUUGGCAGUGAUGGAAUUUAUUGCACGCGUUUAUGUGUGUUUGUCUGCCUAUUCUGGGAGUUGCAUGCAUACUUCACUGUGUGCAGUUUUCACAAGGAUUAGCAACUUGAUUAUCAUUUUUAAUAGAGCAUUGUCAUUUAUUUUAUAUGGGCAGACACACGCACACACACUUGCAAACAAACCACUCAGUGAUGGUUCCAGACCUUCUCUGGCAGAGCACCCAAGGCAGCCUAACAACACAGUAAGGUAGUAAGUUGAGAGGUCCAUUAAAAAGUCAUUAUUGUCCAUUUCUCUCUAACCUGGUCCAUCAAUAAAGAAAUCACAGGUUAAAACAUUUUUCCAAUGUGUGUGAGAAAAUCUGCUGGUAUCCAAUACUGUGUCUCUAUCUUAUGUUCCCAGAAUUGCUUAUUUGCUUCCAAGACAUGAGUGGUCAAAGUCUAUGUUAUAGAGGAAACCCAUAAAACGAUAGUAAAACAAAGAUGUUUUUUUUAAUUUCCCUUUAUUUUGUUCAAUUAUUAAUAACUUCCUGUAGCUACAGAAAAACAGUGUUACCUCUCCUACGACAGCUGCACUCCGCCUAUAUCUUAUAUCCACUAAAUGUCAACAGCACUGCUAUUCUUAGCUAACCAUGUUUUGUCUUAGCCCCAGAUGCCUGUCUGACAACCUACUUCAGACUCUUUCUCUUCCUUUAGCUCUCCCUGCCAUCACUUCUGCACCCUGCAUUUGUUCGAGAUUUGAUUGGUGAUUUGUGAGACUUUUGGUUUGUUGCAAAAAAAAUGUUAAAUUUCAUUAGAAUUUCUGUAAUUAGCAAAUCUUUAAUGUGGGCAAUACAAGGACAGUUAUCUCCAGCAAUUCAUACACUAUAUCUAUCUGUCUAUUAUACCUUCAUGGAAUUUCUCUGUAGCAGUGAAAGAAAUGUAAAAUUAGAUCUUAAAUACUGUUACAGCAGCUUGUUUCACUCUGAUCAUGAGGCCUGUUACAGCUUGUAACUGUUUAUAAGACAAAUAUGUGUUCUAGGUUCAAAAUUUCCCCCAAUAUAAUAGUGAACUGGUAAAUGGCAUUAUCUACACCACCACAGAGAAAAGAGAAGAAACACUUUUUUUCUUUACCUCAUUCUACAUCCUCAACAUUGCUAACUCAGCUCUGUGGUUCUACAUCACCACAAUAUUAUCUGCAGAAUAAAUGUAAACACGCAGGCUUUGCAAUAAGAAGGUACCUUUUUAUUGCAAAGCCUGCAGAUGAAAAUUUAUUAAAUAAUUUGACUUGUCUUGAUGUUUAAAUGUCAUUCAGCACCUCAUCCUCUUUUCCCACCUCCUUAUGUUGCUUAUGUCCCACCUCUUUAUGUUGCUUAUGUCCCACCUCCUUAUGUUGCUUAUGUCCCACCUCCUUAUGUUGUUGUAACACAGUUAUUGUGUCAUGUAUGUGUAUGUCAUGCAUCUGACAUAAACAUCACAUUUCAAUCAUGUCUUUAAAGAAGCACAAUAAAAACAGAGCAUGGUCACAGUG